CUGUAUAGGGAGAAAAGAACAUUUAAAACAAUUUGAUUAGUGAUUAAAAAAAUUAAAUUGUUAAGCCAAAUGCAAGAAUUUUGAAGUAAUUAAUAAACACAUGUACAUACUUACUUGCCCUUAAAGAAGGCAUAAGGUUUGUAAAAUUCUGCCAACCGCAUUGCAAACUUGAUUUUGCGAUUAAGGUCCAUGUAAACUUGCCUAAAAUACUGGCAACUAAGGAUGUUCACCAAAUACAAUACCUUUACAAAUUAGAAACAUAAAAAAUAAAUUAUAAUAAGAUAUGGGAAUUUAUUAAUAAAUUAUUCUAAAAAAUUUAAAUAAAUAUUUAUUUUUCUAUUACAUAUAAUCAAGUCGUUAUACUAUUAAUUUGAGUCAAAUAGAUCCUUAUAGUUAGAGAGUAACUAACUGCCAUUAAUCAAAGCGUCACACGUUGUUUUAAGCCACAUGAUGCUGACAUGAAAAAUAACAUAUAAUCAUGCCAUCAUAGUAUAUCAAUAUGUUACGUCAGUAUUUGUUAUGAUGCAUGUCUGUGAUGUCAACAUAAUGUAACAUAAAAUUACAUCUAACGUUUAACUAAUGAUAGUUAGUUAACCAUUAGUUCUAAAAUCUUAUUUGGUCCAAAAUAAAAAUUUAAGUGUUUGAUUGAAUACAAAGUAUAAUAAGUUAUUUGAAUUUAUCUAAAUAGUUCAAAGACUCUUUAGAUAAUAUGCCAAAAUAAAAAUUAAGACUGUGACAAACCUUUAAUAGGAACACAUAUUUAAUCCACAUGUAUAGAAAAAUUCCAUUGACCGUGCUCAAGAGUGUUACUUUACGAACUUUAACUCUUUGUCUGUUUCUAUUAAUCCAUGGAUUUCAGUGAAAUAACAAUAUAAAAAUUUUUAGUGAAAAAAUUUUUAGUGAACUUCAACACGUUAUUUUAGUAUGUCAUGUCAUUAACUGUUAUGACAUGUCAGCAUAUUGUGUCAAUACUAUGUGAUAUAAAAAAACAUGUAAUGUUUUAAAUAAUGACAGUUAAUUAACCAUUAGUUCUAUGGACUUAUUUGACCCGAAACAAAAGCAUAACAGUUUGAAUGAAUGCAAUUAGAAAAAAAAUAAUUGAUUUGAAUUUUUUAAAUAGUUCAGAGUCCUUUUAAAUAUUAUGUCAAAAUAAAAAUUAGGAAUGUAACAAACCUUCAAUGGAAACACAUAUUUAGUCCACAUGUAGAGAAAAUAUCCAUUGAUUGUGCUCAACACUGUGAGUUUACGAACUUUAACUCGUUGUCCGUUUCUAUUAGACCAUGGGUUUUCAGUGAAAUAACAGUGUAUAAAUUUGCAAAAAUCCCCGAGUUUUAAAGGAUUUUUCAAUGAGGAGCUAACAUGGUAAAUGGUCUGACAAGAUUGAUUACUUGUGUGAACUGACAUGGCCACGACCAUUGCAUUUACCACCAUGUCUGCAGGUAUCUGCAUAAAUUUUGAAAUUCACGUUUUUCACUUGCAAUUAGACCCAGCUAUAGGAAGAAAAUGGUAUAUGUUAUCCAGAGAUUAAAAAUUCUCACCACAUCGAGGGCAGAGUUAGGAUAGCCAGGAAAACAUGUUAAUUUCCCCUUGCCAUAACUCACAAUGACGCUAUCUAUAGUUCUGUAGUAACACAAAUAUUAAUGAGUCAUUAUUCCAAAUAUACAAUGUUAAUGAAAGCAAUAAAUUGCAUUAAUGAAAUAUAAUAAUAAUCCUAAAUCAAAUACCAUAAAAAUUUGAAGUUACAAUUUGGUCAUGAUAAUUACCUCACACCUUCAAUCCAGCCAGGGAAGGGUUCUUUAUAAGUGCUUGCAAUCAUGGUAGGGCGGAUAAUGACAAAAGGCAAAUCUCCUUUGAAGUUCCCUAAAAGCAUCUCUCCCAUUGCCUUUGUAAACACGUAUGUGUUAGGCCACCCAUACAAUUUUGCCCUGUAUUCAUAAGAAACAAGGUUUACCACUGUUUUCUUUUUACUUUUUUUUUUUAAAUUUAAGAUAUCGUCCAUACAAUUCAAGGUGAAGUGAAAAUGAUGACGGUGAGAGAGAAACCUUUUGAGGCCGAAUUCCUUCAUUUCUGAUUUUAUUACUUCGUUUGGGGCAUGUUGGAAUCGCAAUUCAUCUAAUUUUUCCUCUACAAUUCUCUUCUCUUCAAUAAUGUCUAAUUUACAUGUUUUCAACAAUGUAUCAUCCACGGAAAAUGGUUUUUCUAAUAUAAUUCCUGCUUCUUCACCGCACACGUAGGCUAAAAGAAAAUUAUGAUAAAAAGCAUGAUUGUCAAUCUUAAUUUAUCUCCGAUAUAUGUUCUGAAUGCACUAAAAUUUAACUAUGUAUAUAACAAAUAUCAACCACUAAUUAAUCAAGAACGAUCAAUUAAUUUCAUAUUUACCAGUUGAUGUGUGGAGAAACAGCUUUAUCUUAUCACAUUUCUUCGCAAAGCUCAAAACGUUAAGAGCUCCAAACGUAUUGAUGGCCAAUGCAACAUCAUAGCUUGAAAAAUAAGAGGAAAGAAGAAAAGAAAAGCGGCGAAUUAUAGGCAAAAUUAUGUUCUUAAGACAUACUCCUACAAUUCAAAUAUGAGGAUUCUAAAUUACCUUUCAUUGAAUCCUGUCGUGGCAGCAACAUGUACUACAAUUUCUAUUUCUUUCAACAUUUGUUCCCUUAAUUUUGAUUCAUUCACCCCCAAGUUUUCGGAAGAAAUAUCGCCAGGCACUGCUAUCACCUUGGUUAAUAUAAAGGAAUCAAAUUCCGAACCCCAAUUGUCUCGAAGAAUCGUAAACAAUUCUGUAUCUAUAAUCUACAUAAAAAUUAAGAUGUGUAAGUUUUUUUUUUUUGUGAAUUUGAAAUUGAAUUUUAUAUCACGUGUAACAAAUUGGAUUGAAAUAAAAAUUUUAAUUUCAAAUUUAGUAUGAAUCAUAUGAUAGAACAGUAGUAAUUACGAAUAUGACUUUCAUGAUUAUCGUAAAAUUGUCUGAAUUAUGGAACUUAAAAUUCAUUAUAUACCUCACUAUGCAGGCGUUUUGUGGCAGAUUUAGCAUCUGCAGCCUUCAAAAGAAGAUAGAGCUUAUUCACAUUUGGUUGAAUCCUUAAUAUCUUCUCGACAAAGACUGAAACCGGAGUUCAGAAUUAAAUGAUUAAGUAAAACUAAAAUGAUUAAUUAUAUUGUGUUUUAAAUGAAAUCAUCAUCCUUGGCUUCGUAAGAGAGAGAGAGAGUACUCUUUGCCAAAAAUCCAGUUGCACCAGUGACUAAAAUAGUUUUGCCUUGAAGAAACUUGACAACAUGAUCCAACUCCAUAUUCAUGUCUGAGAACCCAAAAAGAAAUCAAAUAAAAGAAGUAACUUUUUUAUAAUAUUUAUUGGAAUAAAAUUGGGUAAAAUUCAAUAUUUGAUAGAAGAAAAGAUAAGAUAAAUGUAUGCUUCCCAACAUCUAAAUUGCAAUGUUUAAUGAUAAUUUGGAAGUAUUGAAAAUAAUAGUAAUUAAAGUUGAAAAAUAAUAUAACAUGUGGCAUCACCUUGAUUUUGGAAUUUCUUUUCCCCUGUUUUUUUUUUCUCUUGUUCUUUUGCCUGUUCUUCCUCUUCGUCUUUAUGUGAGUUCUAAAAGGUAUUUAUAGGGGAGAACCAGAGCUGUCGAUGGAAGGGGAAAACCCCCAUUUUGGUGCCCUUAGGCCACAGCUUUUGUGCAGUGAAUGAGUUAUGGCAUUGAUAGAGGAGAACCAGAGCUGUUGAUGGUAGUGGAAAACCCCCAUUUUGGUGCCCUUAGGCCAAAGCUAUUGGUGGUCCUAUUUCGUGUAUCAUAUCCCAUCUUAAUUGAAUGUGAAUAUGAUUGUUAACACCUUUAUAAGACUUUAGGUUAAUCACUAUUAGUAAAUUAUGUUUAAACUUUUAAAAAUUAUGUAAUUUAGAUCCGAAAAAUUACUAGACUGGUGAUGUUUGCAUCAGGAUCAUUACACUAUGUGGUUCGGAGUAUGCAUGUUAGAUUACAGCUAACUGAGGGCAGAAGCUGGAAGCAGGAUUAACGACCUAAAUGAGGAAGGCAAAGGAGAGACGUGUCAAGGUCAAGGAUGGAUUAGUAGGAGGGAUACCUUCCAUCUCUGCUCUCCUCAAACACUUAUAUUUGCUUUAAAAUGAUAUGGAAUGUGGACAAAUAAAUAUUUUUUUAGUACAAAAAAAAAAGAAUAGAAGGUAUGUUUGAGAUUUCACUUAAUGACAAUUAAGUGAUUUGGUGUAGCAUUGCUGUAAUGAUCUACAAUAAGGGAUUGAUAAUUUCACACCUAUUGAGGAGAAAUUUAUAUGCUGGUGGAGAAAUUAUCAGUUUGAUUGCUGUUGAUGUUGGGAGGGUUGGAGAGUUUAACUGGUGUUUACAUGGUCUACGGAUGGCCCUUUUGCAAGUUGUACGGAAAUCUUGGUUUUUCCUAACUUGUGGCUUUUGCUGCAACAGUCUUGCUAAUUAAUGCUUGCAAAGCUUCCAUUAGGCAAAUUGCAAUGGAAGCUUCAGGACAAAUUGAUGGAUUCAAAAGGUAAAAAGAAUGAAGGCAACAUCUAAGGUUUUAAAGAAUAUGAGAAUUCUGAAGCUUCAGGGAUGGGAAACGAUGUUCAAUUUGAAUUCAAAAGAAGAAUUUUAAUUUCAUAUUACAAAUUAACAUGAUUUUCAUGAUUAUCAUCAAAUUGUCUGAAUCAUGUUAACGAAGUGCGGAACUUAAAAUUCAUUAUAUAUCUCAGUAUGCAAGCAUUUUGUGAGAGAUUUAAUAUCUGCAGCCCCUACAGAAGACAACUUAUUCACCAUUUGGUUGAAUCCUUAAUUAAUAUUACUCUUUGCCAAAAAUCCAGUUGCACCAGUGAUUAACAUAGUCUUGCCUGGAAGAAACUUGACAACGUUAUCCAACUCUAUAUGCAUGUAUGAGAAUCCAGAAAGAAAUCAAAUUAAAAAAAGUAAUUUAUUUAUUGUAUAUAUUGGAAUAAAAUUGGGUAAAUUUGAAUAAUUUAAUAGAGAAAAGAUCAGAUAUAUAUCCUUCCCAACACUUCACCAAGAAAUUGCAAUGUUUAAUGAUAAUUUGGAAGUAUUGAAAAUAAUAUUAAUUAGUGACUUGAAAAAUAAGAUAACAUGUGGACACCAACUUGAUUUUGGAAUUUCUUUUCCCUUGUUUUUUAUUUUCUUGUUCUUUAACCUGUUUUCCUCAUUUUGCGAAUUUGAGUUUAAGAGGUAUUUAUAGGGGAGAACCUGAGCUGUUGAUGGUUCUUGUCAAAAAUACCUCUCAUACAUAAUGUGCUUUUUUAAAAUAGCUCUCUCUAUAAUUUUAACUAUUUUUAGUCAAGAGAAAUUACUUUUGGACUAAAUUACCUUUAAUGAAACAAACCCAUAUGUUUAGGUCUGCGCCUCAAACUGACUCAUAUCCUUUGAUCUUUCCUCAUCAGACCAUUUAUCUCUGGAGUAUUUCUUACCAGAAAGAAAAACUUUUAAGCAUUUUGAGUAUUUUAGAGUGAUUUUUGAUAUACGUAGAAAACUUUUGAGCGUUUUGAGUAUUUUUAAGCAUUUGGAGUCGUUUUUGAUACAUAAAGAAAAACCUUUGAGCAUUUUAAGCAUUCUUCGACAAGUACGCAUAUUCGUUGAUUAUAUUGUUAAAUAGAAUAUGGUAUAUUAUUUGAAGUUGUUGAUUUUGUUAAAUGAAAUUCAGUAAUUUUGGUGAUUUUUAGGCCUUGGGUAACCGAUAUUUGUGCAUUGCGUGACUAGUUUUUAGGCAUUGCAUUACUAAUUUUUAGGCAUUGCAGGAUUGAUUUUUAAGUAUUAUGUGACUAGUUGAUAUGACAUUACCUAACAGAUUGAUAGACAUUGCGUGACUGGUUAGUAAGGCGUUGCAUAACUAGUUAGGAAGACCUUGUGUGACUUAGGCAUUGCCUAAAAAUCAGUCGCAUAAUACCUAAAAAUCAAUCACACAAUGCCAAAAACCAAUCACGUAAUGCCUGAAUAUUAGAGACGUAAUGAUUAAGGCAUGCAAUGCCUAAAAACUAGUCUUACAAUACCUAAAAGCUAGUAAAGCAAUACCUAAUAACUAAUUGAUUUACUUGCUCGCAGUCAGGUUUAAGUUGCCAAAGUCAUACAGUAUUCUAAUUUUUUUUUUUUAUAAUUGGGGGAGAGGGGAUUCGAACCCUGCUCUUUAAGCAAGGCGAUAAUGCACCAACCAAUGAGCCAAAUGCUCUUGAGUCAUACAAUGUUCUAAUUUAUAGAUAUAUCUAAUCAAUUUCAACCCCCUCAACUAUGGGGUUCUAUGAAUAAAUCAAUAAACCCAAUAACUUAAAACACAUACCUUGAUAUCAUCUCUGCACUUUGGGGUGGCAAGAAAGAGCUGGACGACGAGAUAGACAGUAUUUGCCAAGAGAGAGAAAUCGGGAUUUGAUUUUGAAAUUUUUGUCUGGAUGGUGACAUAAAGAAAACUGAAACCAUUUUAAUUUGUCUGAAAUUAUUUAAAGGGCAUUGUUAUCAAGUCAUGUCAAAAAUUGACUAAAAAUAGUUAAAAUUAUAAUGAAGGAUAUUUUUGAAUUACGUUUAUGAGAAGGAUUAUUUCUCAUAAUUUUCUCUAGUAGAAAACACCCCAUUUUGGUGCCCUUAGGCCACUACUUUUGAGCAAUGAAUGAAGUUAUGGCAACCGAUGGUCCUAUUUCAUGUAAUGGCCUUUCCUUUCUGAAAUUGGGUACUUCAAUCCGAACAUAAAGUUAGGUUUAGUUUCUACCAAAUUUAGGGGCAUGCUAGAGGGAAGCCCCAGCCGAAAGAAUGUGGAGGUGGAUUCCAAUGGGUUUGUUAAGCAGGUGCAGACAUUGCUAUCAGUUUGUCCAGUUUGGCUCUCAGAGUCAAAAAAGGUUGCUCUCUAACAAUCCCUAUCAAGGUCUUAGACUGAACCCCACAAGAAAUAUUUGGUCUUUAAUUACUUGGGGUAAGAAAACAAACAAAAAUUCAGACUAUGAAUUCUUUAUUUUACUUUGAAGCAAAGAUAAAAUGAUGAAGUAUCAACUACACAAAUAAAUGAAGAACUAUCAAAGCAAUAACAUCUGUUAUUGGUCACAACGAAAGUAAUGCAAGUAUUCUCCUUCUUUCCUCAUCCGUUAAGUUGUUCAAAGCUUGAUGCCCACUACUUCGUUUUUUUUUUAAGAUUUGAAGAAGGAGAUUCAAACUUUACUCUUCAAAUAGGAAGAUUAUACAUCAGCUAAUGAAUCAAAUAUUCGUGUGUGCCUUCUAUGUAAAUUUUAUUCAAUUAAUUUUAUUUUUUAAUAAUAAUUAAGAUUUAAUCCAUGUCUUAAGACGCCAGGAAUGUGAAUGUUCAUCAUGUAAUCCUUCCAAUCAAUACUCUUGGAAUCGAAGUCAAAUACACCCAUAUCAAUGCCUCUCCCUUGAGCCACCAUUCGCAACUUGUCUAAAUUUGUGUCACUAAAGCUGUAUAGGGAGAAAAGAACAUUUAAAACAAUUUAAUCAGAGAUUAAAAAAAUUAAAUUGCUAAGCCAAAUGCAAGAAUUUUGAAAUAAUUAAUAAACACAUAUACAUUCUUACUUGCCCUUAAGGAACACAUAAGGUUUGUAAAAUUCUGAGAACCACAUUGCAAACUUGAUUUUGCAAUUAAGGUCCAUGUAAACUUGCCUGAAAUACUGGCAACUAAGGAUGUUCACCAAAUGCAAUACCUUUACAAAUUAGAAACAUAAAAAUAUAUAUAUUAUAAUAAGAAAUGAGAAUUAAUUAAAUAAGAGAAGUUCUUAU
Molecule: long non-coding RNA, 7731 nt
Filed under: Theobroma cacao (cacao)
Lineage: Eukaryota; Viridiplantae; Streptophyta; Magnoliopsida; Malvales; Malvaceae
Description: long non-coding RNA (TCAC_LNC004143)
Source: RNAcentral